This 345-nucleotide unclassified non-coding RNA is filed under the name soil metagenome. Its description in RNAcentral is "partial internal transcribed spacer 1". The record is from RNAcentral.
ACGAGUUUUAAUUGUUAGGUUAGAGUUGAGCUGGUUAAUCUAAUUAAUAUGUGCUUACUCUAAUCGAAACAAGUCCACUCAUUACUUAACACUUGUGAACUUAUUCAUUACAAACAUUAUUAUUUGUAAUGAAUAAGUUCACAAGUGUUAAGUAAUGAGUGGACUUGUUUCGAUUAGAGUAAGCACAUAUUAAUUAGCCUAUACAUGGUCAACUUUAACUAACAAUUAAAAGUCGUACAUGAUCUUCUGUAGGUUAACCUACGGAAGGAUCAUUAUUGAUUUUAGUUAUUUGUGAACGUACUACGAACAAACAAAAAAUAUUAUAGUCAAAAAAAAACUAAAUCA